UACUGGAAACGGUAGCUAAUACCGCAUAACGUCGCAAGACCAAAGAGGGGGACCUUCGGGCCUCUUGCCAUCGGAUGUGCCCAGAUGGGAUUAGCUAGUAGGUGGGGUAACGGCUCACCUAGGCGACGAUCCCUAGCUGGUCUGAGAGGAUGACCAGCCACACUGGAACUGAGACACGGUCCAGACUCCUACGGGAGGCAGCAGUGGGGAAUAUUGCACAAUGGGCGCAAGCCUGAUGCAGCCAUGCCGCGUGUAUGAAGAAGGCCUUCGGGUUGUAAAGUACUUUCAGCGGGGAGGAAGGGAGUAAAGUUAAUACCUUUGCUCAUUGACGUUACCCGCAGAAGAAGCACCGGCUAACUCCGUGCCAGCAGCCGCGGUAAUACGGAGGGUGCAGGCGUUAAUCGGAAUUACUGGGCGUAAAGCGCACGCAGGCGGUUUGUUAAGUCAGAUGUGAAAUCCCCGGGCUCAACCUGGGAACUGCAUCUGAUACUGGCAAGCUUGAGUCUCGUAGAGGGGGGUAGAAUUCCAGGUGUAGCGGUGAAAUGCGUAGAGAUCUGGAGGAAUACCGGUGGCGA
Molecule: ribosomal RNA, 575 nt
Filed under: uncultured Pseudomonadota bacterium
Lineage: Bacteria; Pseudomonadati; Pseudomonadota
Description: bacterial SSU rRNA
Rfam family: Bacterial small subunit ribosomal RNA
Source: RNAcentral